This 463-nucleotide ribosomal RNA is filed under the name uncultured bacterium. RNAcentral describes it as "partial 16S ribosomal RNA". It matches the Rfam family "Bacterial small subunit ribosomal RNA", at positions 28 to 507 of the family's 1533-position model. The record is from RNAcentral.
GAUGAACGCUGACAGAAUGCUUAACACAUGCAAGUCGAUGGGGAAGUGGUGCUUGCACCAUGGUAACCAUGGCGGACGGGUGAGUAACGCGUAAGGAACUUGCCUGCGGGACUGGGAUAACAGCAGGAAACUGCUGAUAAUACCGGAUAAGGUCAUUAAGCUGCAUAGCUUAGUGAUGAAAGGAGACGCCUGCGGAGAGCCUUGCGUCCUAUUAGCUAGUUGGAGGGGUAACGGCCCACCAAGGCGAAGAUAGGUAGCCGGCCUGAGAGGGUGGACGGCCACAAGGGGACUGAGAUACGGCCCUUACUCCUACGGGAGGCAGCAGUGGGGAAUAUUGGACAAUGGGGGCAACCCCGAUCCAGCAAUUCUGUGUGCACGAAGACGGUUUUCGGAGUGUAAAGUGCUUUCAGCAGGGAAGAAGGAAGUGACGGUACCUGCAGAAGAAGCGACGGCUAAAUACGUG